UACGAAGGGUGCAAGCGUUACUCGGAAUUACUGGGUGUAAAGCGUGCGUAGGUGGUGAGUUAAGUCUGUCGUGAAAGCCCCGGGCUCAACCUGGGAAUGGCGAUGGAUACUGGCUCGCUAGAGUGCGGUAGAGGAGAGUGGAAUUCCCGGUGUAGCAGUGAAAUGCGUAGAGAUCGGGAGGAACAUCAGUUGCGAAGGCGGCUCUCUGGACCAGCACUGACACUGAGGCACGAAAGCGUGGGGAGCAAACAGG
This 253-nucleotide ribosomal RNA is filed under the name uncultured bacterium. RNAcentral's name for it is "partial 16S ribosomal RNA". It matches the Rfam family "Bacterial small subunit ribosomal RNA", at positions 524 to 776 of the family's 1533-position model. The record is from RNAcentral.